Molecule: ribosomal RNA, 253 nt
Filed under: uncultured bacterium
Lineage: Bacteria
Description: partial 16S ribosomal RNA
Rfam family: Bacterial small subunit ribosomal RNA
Source: RNAcentral
UACGGAGGGUGCAAGCGUUGUCCGGAUUCAUUGGGUUUAAAGGGUGCGCAGGCGGGACAUUAAGUCAGGGGUGAAAGACGGUUGCUCAACAAUCGCAGUGCCUUUGAUACUGGUGUUCUUGGGUAACCUUGAGGUAGGCGGAAUGGGUGGUGUAGCGGUGAAAUGCAUAGAUACCACCCAGAACUCCGAUUGCGAAGGCAGCCUAUUGGAGGUCAACCGACGCUCAGGCACGAAAGCGUGGGGAGCAAACAGG